AACGAACGCUGGCGGCAUGCCUAACACAUGCAAGUCGAACGAGACCUUCGGGUCUAGUGGCGCACGGGUGCGUAACGCGUGGGAAUCUGCCCUUGGGUUCGGAAUAACAGCGAGAAAUUGCUGCUAAUACCGGAUGAUGACGUAAGUCCAAAGAUUUAUCGCCCAAGGAUGAGCCCGCGUAGGAUUAGCUAGUUGGUGAGGUAAAGGCUCACCAAGGCGACGAUCCUUAGCUGGUCUGAGAGGAUGCUCAGCCACACUGGGACUGAGACACGGCCCAGACUCCUACGGGAGGCAGCAGUGGGGAAUAUUGGACAAAUGGGCGAAAGCCUGAUCCAGCAAUGCCGCGUGAGUGAUGAAGGCCUUAGGGUUGUAAAGCUCUUUUACCCGGGAUGAUAAUGACAGUACCGGGAGAAUAAGCUCCGGCUAACUCCGUGCCAGCAGCCGCGGUAAU
RNAcentral lists this ribosomal RNA (451 nucleotides) under uncultured bacterium. Its description in RNAcentral is "bacterial SSU rRNA". It matches the Rfam family "Bacterial small subunit ribosomal RNA", at positions 29 to 524 of the family's 1533-position model. The record is from RNAcentral.